Otolemur garnettii (small-eared galago) is the source of this 137-nucleotide small nucleolar RNA. Lineage: Eukaryota; Metazoa; Chordata; Mammalia; Primates; Galagidae. The record is from Ensembl.
UUGGCCCUGAAUCAAGGCCAGCAGUUUGCUGAAGCUGUUGGUUUCAAGCAGGCACCUAAAGAAUUAUCUUUCUAUGGUCUAUUGGCCAUUUCAGAACUUUGGAAAUGUAAUAGUCAGUUUAUUAGAAAGAAACAGUA